This 69-nucleotide transfer RNA is filed under the name Akodon montensis. RNAcentral's name for it is "tRNA-Gly". Lineage: Eukaryota; Metazoa; Chordata; Mammalia; Rodentia; Cricetidae. The record is from RNAcentral.
AUUUUCUUAGUAUAAUCAGUACAAUUGACUUCCAAUCAAUUAGAUCUAGCAUUAAUCUAGAAGAAAAUA